GAUGAAGAACGUAGCGAAAUGCGAUAAGUAAUGCGAAUUGCAGAAUCCGUGAGUCAUCGAAUCUUUGAACGCACAUUGCGCCCCCUGGUAUUCCGGGGGGCAUGCCUGUCCGAGCGUCAUUGCUGCCCUCAAGCACGGCUUGUGUGUUGGGCCCCGCCCCCCGGCUCCCGGGGGGCGGGCCCGAAAGGCAGCGGCGGCACCGCGUCCGGUCCUCGAGCGUAUGGGGCUUCGUCACCCGCUCCGUAGGCCCGGCCGGCGCCCGCCGGCGACCCCCCUCAAUCUUUUCAGGUUGACCUCGGAUCAGGUAGGGAUACCCGCUGAACUUAAGCAUAUCAAUAAGCGGAGGA
Molecule: unclassified non-coding RNA, 347 nt
Filed under: soil metagenome
Description: partial contains 5.8S ribosomal RNA, internal transcribed spacer 2, and large subunit ribosomal RNA
Rfam family: 5.8S ribosomal RNA (bases 1-119)
Source: RNAcentral